Molecule: long non-coding RNA, 385 nt
Organism: Pantherophis guttatus
Lineage: Eukaryota; Metazoa; Chordata; Lepidosauria; Squamata; Colubridae
Source: RefSeq, a predicted model, not a curated record
UAAUCUGCAAGAUUCUAGAUUACAGUGUAACUUUCUGUUACAGUGACUCAAUAAAUCCAAACUUCUUUUCUCAAGUCUGUAGAUAGAUGUUGUCUUAUUCACCUCAUCUUAAGAUUUUAUCUGGACAAAGUCUUCAGACACUGUGAGACAGAAAGCCUUCUCAUCAAUCGGAAAGUCAGUGGUAUAGCCAACUCCUUCCUCAGCACUGAGAAGAAAUUCAGAGAAUGUCAUGAUCAAAAUACGUGCCAUUGUGGGGAAGAUGCAAUAAUUAAGUAUCAACAGAUCAUCAUCAACUAUGAGCAGAUGGAUGUUACAUCUGCUGCAAUGAAGUCCCUUGGAGAACUCGACAUCCUGCUUGACUGGUUAGAAGCAUAUUAGAACCUGA